RNAcentral lists this ribosomal RNA (971 nucleotides) under Staphylococcus aureus. RNAcentral describes it as "bacterial SSU rRNA". It matches the Rfam family "Bacterial small subunit ribosomal RNA", at positions 51 to 1002 of the family's 1533-position model. The record is from RNAcentral. Lineage: Bacteria; Bacillati; Bacillota; Bacilli; Caryophanales; Staphylococcaceae.
AUACAUGCAGUCGAGCGAACGGACGAGAAGCUUGCUUCUCUGAUGUUAGCGGCGGACGGGUGAGUAACACGUGGAUAACCUACCUAUAAGACUGGGAUAACUUCGGGAAACCGGAGCUAAUACCGGAUAAUAUUUUGAACCGCAUGGUUCAAAAGUGAAAGACGGUCUUGCUGUCACUUAUAGAUGGAUCCGCGCUGCAUUAGCUAGUUGGUAAGGUAACGGCUUACCAAGGCAACGAUGCAUAGCCGACCUGAGAGGGUGAUCGGCCACACUGGAACUGAGACACGGUCCAGACUCCUACGGGAGGCAGCAGUAGGGAAUCUUCCGCAAUGGGCGAAAGCCUGACGGAGCAACGCCGCGUGAGUGAUGAAGGUCUUCGGAUCGUAAAACUCUGUUAUUAGGGAAGAACAUAUGUGUAAGUAACUGUGCACAUCUUGACGGUACCUAAUCAGAAAGCCACGGCUAACUACGUGCCAGCAGCCGCGGUAAUACGUAGGUGGCAAGCGUUAUCCGGAAUUAUUGGGCGUAAAGCGCGCGUAGGCGGUUUUUUAAGUCUGAUGUGAAAGCCCACGGCUCAACCGUGGAGGGUCAUUGGAAACUGGAAAACUUGAGUGCAGAAGAGGAAAGUGGAAUUCCAUGUGUAGCGGUGAAAUGCGCAGAGAUAUGGAGGAACACCAGUGGCGAAGGCGACUUUCUGGUCUGUAACUGACGCUGAUGUGCGAAAGCGUGGGGAUCAAACAGGAUUAGAUACCCUGGUAGUCCACGCCGUAAACGAUGAGUGCUAAGUGUUAGGGGGUUUCCGCCCCUUAGUGCUGCAGCUAACGCAUUAAGCACUCCGCCUGGGGAGUACGACCGCAAGGUUGAAACUCAAAGGAAUUGACGGGGACCCGCACAAGCGGUGGAGCAUGUGGUUUAAUUCGAAAGCAACGCGAAGAAACCUUACCAAAUCUUGACAUCCUUUUGACAACUCU